RNAcentral lists this long non-coding RNA (125 nucleotides) under Cavia porcellus (domestic guinea pig). Its description in RNAcentral is "lncRNA (ENSCPOG00000033563.1)". The record is from RNAcentral. Lineage: Eukaryota; Metazoa; Chordata; Mammalia; Rodentia; Caviidae.
CAGGAACCUUCACUGACCAUGGAGUUCUUGGCUCUGCUCCUCUGCCUACUGACAGCUCCCUGCAGUGUCCUGUCCCAGGUGCAGCUGCAGGAGUCAGGACCUGGCCUGGUGAAGCCUUCAGAGAC